GGGACACGUGGUAUCCUGUCUGAAUAUGGGGGGACCAUCCUCCAAGGCUAAAUACUCCUGACUGACCGAUAGUGAACCAGUACCGUGAGGGAAAGGCGAAAAGAACCCCGGCGAGGGGAGUGAAAAAGAACCUGAAACCGUGUACGUACAAGCAGUGGGAGCACGCUUAGGCGUGUGACUGCGUACCUUUUGUAUAAUGGGUCAGCGACUUAUAUUCUGUAGCAAGGUUAACCGAAUAGGGGAGCCGAAGGGAAACCGAGUCUUAACUGGGCGUUAAGUUGCAGGGUAUAGACCCGAAACCCGGUGAUCUAGCCAUGGGCAGGUUGAAGGUUGGGUAACACUAACUGGAGGACCGAACCGACUAAUGUUGAAAAAUUAGCGGAUGACUUGUGGCUGGGGGUGAAAGGCCAAUCAAACCGGGAGAUAGCUGGUUCUCCCCGAAAGCUAUUUAGGUAGCGCCUCGUGAAUUCAUCUCCGGGGGUAGAGCACUGUUUCGGCAAGGGGGUCAUCCCGACUUACCAACCCGAUGCAAACUGCGAAUACCGGAGAAUGUUAUCACGGGAGACACACGGCGGGUGCUAACGUCCGUCGUGAAGAGGGAAACAACCCAGA
RNAcentral lists this ribosomal RNA (612 nucleotides) under Escherichia coli. RNAcentral's name for it is "partial 23S ribosomal RNA". It matches the Rfam family "Bacterial large subunit ribosomal RNA", at positions 419 to 1031 of the family's 2925-position model. Lineage: Bacteria; Pseudomonadati; Pseudomonadota; Gammaproteobacteria; Enterobacterales; Enterobacteriaceae. The record is from RNAcentral.